RNAcentral lists this unclassified non-coding RNA (392 nucleotides) under soil metagenome. RNAcentral's name for it is "partial contains 5.8S ribosomal RNA, internal transcribed spacer 2, and large subunit ribosomal RNA". The stretch from base 1 to 122 matches the Rfam family "5.8S ribosomal RNA", at positions 35 to 154 of the family's 154-position model. The record is from RNAcentral.
GAUGAAGAACGCAGCGAAAUGCGAUACUUGGUGUGAAUUGCAGAAUCCCGUGAACCAUCGAGUCUUUGAACGCAAGUUGCGCCCGAAGCCAUUAGGCCGAGGGCACGCCUGCCUGGGCGUCACACGUCGUUGCCCCCCCCAUCUACUCCUUCGGGAUUGCGGGGGGCGGAUGAUGGCCUCCCGUGCGCCUCGCCGCGCGGUUGGCAUAAAUGCCAAGUCCUCGGCGAUGCACGCCACGACAAUCGGUGGUUGCGAAACCUCGAUUGCCCGUCGUGUGCGGUCGUCGCGCAUCGAGGGCUCGAAAAAAUUGCCGGGUUCCGGCUCGGCUUUCAACGCGACCCCAGGUCAGGCGGGGUUACCCGCUGAAUUUAAGCAUAUCAAUAAGCGGAGGA